CUGAGUGUCGCUGAAGGUCGGGGAUUCGUCUUCCCAAGCUGAGAACGCGGGUUCGAUUCCCGUCACCCGCUCCA
RNAcentral lists this transfer RNA (74 nucleotides) under freshwater metagenome. RNAcentral describes it as "tRNA-Gly". The record is from RNAcentral.